Molecule: long non-coding RNA, 5080 nt
Filed under: Manihot esculenta (cassava)
Lineage: Eukaryota; Viridiplantae; Streptophyta; Magnoliopsida; Malpighiales; Euphorbiaceae
Description: long non-coding RNA (MESC_LNC007560)
Source: RNAcentral
CUGAUAUUCACCCAAACUUGGGAGAUACAAUGUCACGUGUUCAACUAAAUUGGAAAAACUACACCUAUCUAAUGCAAUAUGAUUUGGAAGAAAGAAAAGCUGAAGAGAGGAACAAUUUGCAAUCUGGAGCACAUACUGUGCAGUUUGUCACAGUCAUAAUUCCCAUGUGGUAGGAACUAGGAAAUGCAUAUAAUUAGUUCGUGGGAGAAAAUUAUAUUCCCAAGCAAAAUCUGUGUUCUGAAACAGUUCCAAAAUUAGAAGAAAGCCCUUCUCUUCUUUUCAAGAAGGAAGCCUAACUAAAAGAGUGAAAUCAGGCCAUGCUGACAUAGCAUAGAACAUUUCAUACAUUAAUGCUCCUAAUUUAUCCUCCAAAUAACAGAAGAAGUUGAUAAAAUCAUAAUUAAGGCAUAUGAAGAACAAAGUUGGGUACCAUGAAGUACAUGUGCUUCGUCCUAACGUAACACACUUUAACUUUGACAGUUUUACAUCUGCAGCAAAUGAGUAAAACAAUACAACAAUUAACCUGUUUCGAAGUUGUGCUGUUUUUAGUUCAGCAAUAGUGUUGAACAUUGUUAUAAGUUAUAGAAAGUAAAUAUGUUAAUAUAGGAAGUAAAUAUGGAUAGAUGGGUUAGUUGCUUAAUCUUAGGGAUUGUAUAAUCAUAGAUUUGAUUUUCUUUCCUAUUUAGAUACCCUCUCUCAUGUAUAAAUAGAUUGUAAUCUCUAUUGUGAAAUAUAACAAAUAUUAUCCUUCUACAUGGUAUCAGAGCCUUUCUCGUAGAGAUUUAAUUUUUCUCUCCCGUCAAAGUUUUUUUUAAGAAAAAAAAAAAAAAAAAUUUUGGAGACUUAGGGCUCUGUUUAUUUGGGUUACCCAUAACGGGUAAUAUUUGGAUCUCACCAUCGCUAGAGUCGCCACAUCGUUCCCUUGUCAGAUCUGAGGUUUAUUUGCCAUUCGGGUUUUGGGGGAGGUGUUUUUAUCGGUACUGUUCAUCGGACUGUUCACGGGUACUGUUCACGAGUACUGUUCAUCGACACUGUUCACGUGGUACUGUUCACGUGGUACUGUUCAUCGGUACUGUUCACGUGGUGCUGUUCACGCCGGGUACUGUUUUCUGAUUCUGUGUUUCUUUUGUUGCUGUCGUUUUGGGUUUGUUGUCAUGGUUGAAGUGAAAACCACCACCGUAACUGAUGUGAUUCCUAUGAUGACUAAAAUCACGGAACACAAAUUGAAUGGAUCUUCCAAUCAAGGAAUUUUGAUAUCUGCAGAUGAGUAUGCACAAUUCGUCCAAUACCAGGCAUCUCUAAAAUCCUCUAAUUCCUCCUCUAUCACUGCAAUUGCCGAGUCAGGUAACUCUACUACAUGUCUUGUGUCUUCAUCCUCAAAAUGGGUUAUUGAUUCUGGUGCUACCGAUCAUAUGUCAGGUAAUUCUACCCUUUUGUCCAAUCUUGAGUCUCGUACAUCGCCUUCUUAUGUUACUCUUGCUGAUGGCACUAAAUCUUCUGUCAUUGGUUCUGGUCAUGUCAACUUAACCCCUUCUCUUUCUGUAUCCUCUGUGUUAUGUCUCCCUAAGUUCGCAUUUAAUUUGCUUUCCGUUAGUAAACUCACUCGUGCAUUGAAUUGUUGUGUCUCAUUCUUUCCUGAUCACUGUGUUUUUCAGGAUCUUUCGACGAAGCAGAUUAUUGGUAGAGGGAGUGAGUCAGAGGGUCUUUACGUCUUGGAUCAGCAACUACCUCGAUCUCCUCGAUCUCUGGUAUGCUCCACGCAUUUAACACCUUUUGAUGUUCAUUGUCGUUUGGGGCAUCCUUCUCUCUCAGUUUUAAAGAAGUUAUAUGCACAGUUUCAUUCUUUGUCUACUCUAGAUUGUGAGUCUUGUCAAUUUGCCAAACAUCAUCGUUUACCUACACUGCCUCGAGUCAAUAAACGGGCUUCGUCCCCCUUUGAGUUAGUACAUUCAGAUGUUUGGGGUCCUUGUCCUGUUGUGUCUAAGUCUGACUUUAAGUAUUUUGUUACUUUUGUUGAUGAUUUCUCUCGUACUACUUGGUUAUUUUUAAUGAAGAGUCGUUCAGAAUUAUUUUCUGUUUUUUGUGCAUUUUAUGCUGAAAUCCAAACCCAAUUCAAUACUUCCAUCCGUAUAUUGCAAAGUGAUAAUGCUAAAGAGUAUCUCUCUGGGGAAUUUCAAUCUUAUUUGUUACAAAAAGGGAUUCUUCAUCAGUCAUCUUGUGUUGCCACUCCUUCACAAAAUGGAGUUGCUGAAAGAAAAAAUCGACAUCUUCUUGAAGUAGCCAGAGCUCUCUUAUUCCAAAUGAAGGUACCUAAAUGUUUUUGGGUUGAUGCUGUAUCCACUGCUUGUUUUUUGAUCAAUCGCAUGCCUUCCUCCAUCCUUCAUGGUGAUAUCCCUUAUAACAUUUUGUUUCCCACUAAAUCUUUGUUUCCUAUUGAGCCACGUAUGUUUGGUUGUACAUGUUUUGUUCGUGAUGUUCGUCCACAGGUUACUAAAUUGGAUCCUAAAUCACUCAAAUGUGUCUUCCUUGGCUACUCUCGACGUCAGAAAGGGUAUCGUUGUUUUUCUCCUGAUCUGAAUCGGUAUCUUGUGUCUGCGGAUGUAACAUUCUUUGAGUCCACUCCAUUUUUUCCGCCAUCAUCUGUUUAUAACACCGAGGGGGAGGAAGAUGACCUCUUGUUAUACACUGUUCGCUCUUUGUCUCCUCAAACUACUCCUACACCUUUCGCUCAUGUGCCAGGUCGCCCUCCCAUCUUUCAUGUGUAUUCCAGACGCUUAGAGGACUCUGACUCCGUUCCGCUACCUGCUUCUUCGUCGACAGAUCCUGCUCCCACUGAUCCUUCACCGUCUGAUUUGGAUUUGCCCAUUGCUCUUCGCAAAGGUAAACGUACUUGCACUUAUCCUAUUUCAUCUUGUGUCUCUUAUGAUCAAUUAUCCUCCUCUUCUCGUUGUUUUGUCACUGCUUUAGAUUCUAUUUCAAUUCCCAAAACUGUUAUUGAGGCUUUGUCCCAUCCUGGUUGGCGUGCUGCAAUGGAAGAGGAAAUGAUGGCCCUUGACACUAAUGGUACUUGGGAGUUGAUGUCCUUGCCCCCAGGAAAGCGGGCUAUUGGGUGCAAAUGGGUGUUUGCAGUAAAAGUAAACCCUGAUGGAUCUAUUGCUCGCCUCAAGGCCCGUUUAGUGGCCAAAGGUUAUGCACAAACUUAUGGAGUUGACUAUUCUGAUACAUUCUCUCCAGUUGCCAAGCUCGCAUCUGUCCGAUUGUUUAUUUCCUUGGCGGCUACUCAUGAUUGGCCCUUGCAUCAACUGGAUAUUAAAAAUGAUUUUCUUCAUGGUGAUCUUCAGGAGGAGGUUUAUAUUGAGCAACCACCUGGUUUUGUUGCUCAGGGGGAGUCAGGUAAGGUUUGUAGACUUCGAAAAUCCCUUUAUGGCUUGAAACAGAGUCCUCGAGCAUGGUUUGGCAGGUUUAGUGAGGUGGUCCAACAGUUUGGAAUGAAGAUGAGUAAGUGUGAUCACUCAGUGUUUUAUAGAAAUUCUGAUAGUGGAGUAAUUCUGCUUGUAGUAUAUGUGGAUGAUAUCGUUAUUACAGGAAGUGACAUUGCUGGCAUCACAUCCCUAAAAGAAUUUCUUAAAACACAGUUUCAUACAAAGGAUUUGGGUUCCUUGAAAUAUUUCUUGGGAAUUGAAGUUAUGCGGUGUAAGAAAGGCAUCUUCUUAUCUCAAAGAAAAUAUUUUCUUGAUUUGUUGGCAGAAACAGGAAAAUUGGGUGCUAAGCCUUGUAGUACCCCAAUGACCCCUAACCUUCAACUUACCACAGAAGACAGUGAGCCAUUUGCAGAUCCUGGAAGGUACAGAAGAUUAGUUGGUAAGCUGAAUUAUUUGACUGUGACUCGUCCUGAUAUUGCAUAUUCAGUGAGUGUGGUAAGUCAGUUUAUGUCCUCUCCUACUGUUGCCCAGUGGGAUGCUCUGGGACAGAUUCUUUGUUACCUUAAAGGGGCCCCAGGACGAGGCCUAUUCUAUGGUAACCAUGGGCACUCAAAUAUUGAAUGCUUUUCUGAUGCUGAUUGGGCAGGCUCGAAAGUUGAUAGGAGGUCAACUACUGGGUAUUGUGUUUUUGUGGGAGGUAAUUUGGUCUCAUGGAAAAGUAAAAAGCAAAAUGUGGUCUCCCAUUCUAGUGCUGAAUCUGAAUAUCGAGCCAUGGCACAAGCCGUUUGUGAAAUCUUGUGGGUACGUCAACUGUUGGAAGAAGUUGGGUUUUCAAAUUCGGUGCCUGCUAAGUUGUGGUGUGAUAAUCAAGCAGCUAUCCACAUUGCCUCCAAUCCAGUAUUUCACGAGAGGACCAAACACAUCGAGAUUGAUUGUCAUUUUGUUCGUGAAAAGGUUCAACAAAAGAUAAUAUCAACAGAACAUAUCCGAACUGGAGAACAAUUAGGAGAUAUUUUUACUAAAGCUCUAAAUGGAACUCGAGUCGAUUAUAUAUGUAACAAGUUGGGCAUGAUUAACAUUUAUGAUCCAACUUGAGGGGGAGUGUUAUAAGUUAUAGAAAGUAAAUAUGUUAAUAUAGGAAGUAAAUAUUGAUAGAUGGGUUAGUUGCUUAAUCUUAGGGAUUGUAUAAUCAUAGACUUGAUUUUCCUUCCUAUUUAGAUACCCUCUCUCAUGUAUAAAUAGAUUGUAAUCCCUAUUGUGAAAUAUAACAAAUAUUAUCCUUCUACAAACAUCACCCUUUCAAAGCAGGGUGAUAGAGACUUUAAAAUGUAUCUGGAAUAUCAUUGCAUGUGUCAUUAUGAGUCAAUAGAUUACAGUUAUAUAUAGGCUCUGAAUAUAUUUGAUGCCAUUAGCUGAAAAUAACAAACUAUUUAGAAUAAGUCAAUAGAGCAUUAGACUGCAGAAUACACUUUAAAACAAGCAGCUUCAAAGGCACAAGCAAACGGCAUUAACAAUUUUCAGUAUAUAUUUAAUUGCUAUCUCUAGUGAAUAUCUAAUAAACUAUUUACUCAUCAAAUGAACCUGCAAAAGUUAGACAAUACUAAAGCAAAAUACAAAAUCAGAGAACGGUAAGACUCACUAGAUGUGAGGAAACUUAC